Molecule: unclassified non-coding RNA, 415 nt
Filed under: Hevea brasiliensis (rubber tree)
Lineage: Eukaryota; Viridiplantae; Streptophyta; Magnoliopsida; Malpighiales; Euphorbiaceae
Source: RNAcentral
GGUAAACAUAGGCCUCUCCAUCCUGAAAAUGCUUAGAGUUACAACCACAAAAGAGGAGAAGAUAUAACUCAAAAACAUAAAAACAAAAUGGCAGAAAUUGCAGUUGUAUGUUUUAUUAAUAUAUGCUAAUGACAAUGAAUAGGGGCAAAGCUUCCCUUUGGGGAAGGGGGGCAAUUGCCCCUUUACUUUUCCAAAAUAAAAAAUUAAUCAUUUUAAAAAUAUUAUAUUUAGAAAAAUUUUCCUUAAAAUUUAAUAUUCUCCCCCUAAAAUUUAAUAUUUGCCCCCUUCUCUUCCCUUCCCCUCCCCUAAAUUUGACUUAAAUGAAAAAACAAAAUAUUUUAGUUUUUGUUAUUUUUGUACUCUUAAAAACCACAACUUAAGAGUUAAAAGUUAUCUUUCAUUUGUCUUUUUGAAU